This 254-nucleotide ribosomal RNA is filed under the name uncultured bacterium. RNAcentral's name for it is "partial 16S ribosomal RNA". It matches the Rfam family "Bacterial small subunit ribosomal RNA", at positions 333 to 604 of the family's 1533-position model. The record is from RNAcentral.
CAGGUCCUACGGGGCGCAGCAGUGGGGGAUAUUGCACAAUGGGGGAAACCCUGAUGCAGCGACGCCGCGUGGGUGAAGAAGCGCCUCGGCGCGUAAAGCCCUGUCAGCAGGGAAGAAAAUGACGGUACCUGAAGAAGAAGCCCCGGCUAACUACGUGCCAGCAGCCGCGGUAAUACGUAGGGGGCAAGCGUUAUCCGGAUUUACUGGGUGUAAAGGGGGCGCAGACGGCGAUGCAAGCCAGUAGUGAAAGCCCG